This 485-nucleotide ribosomal RNA is filed under the name uncultured bacterium. Its description in RNAcentral is "bacterial SSU rRNA". It matches the Rfam family "Bacterial small subunit ribosomal RNA", at positions 28 to 507 of the family's 1533-position model. The record is from RNAcentral.
GAUGAACGCUGGCGGCAUGCCUUACACAUGCAAGUCGAACGGCAGCGCGUCCUUCGGGAUGGCGGCGAGUGGCGAACGGGUGAGUAAUACAUCGGAACGUGCCCGAGAGUGGGGGAUAACGCAGCGAAAGCUGUGCUAAUACCGCAUACGAUCUCAGGAUGAAAGCAGGGGGACCGCAAGGCCUUGCGCUCACGGAGCGGCCGAUGGCAGAUUAGGUAGUUGGUGGGAUAAAAGCUUACCAAGCCGACGAUCUGUAGCUGGUCUGAGAGGACGACCAGCCACACUGGGACUGAGACACGGCCCAGACUCCUACGGGAGGCAGCAGUGGGGAAUUUUGGACAAUGGGGGGAACCCUGAUCCAGCCAUGCCGCGUGCAAGAUGAAGGCCUUCGGGUUGUAAACUGCUUUUGUACGGAACGAAAAGGUCUUUUCUAAUAAAGAAGGCUGAUGACGGUACCGUAAGAAUAAGCAUCGGCUAACUCCGUG